Molecule: long non-coding RNA, 668 nt
Organism: Xenia sp. Carnegie-2017
Lineage: Eukaryota; Metazoa; Cnidaria; Anthozoa; Malacalcyonacea; Xeniidae
Exons: 2
Source: RefSeq, a predicted model, not a curated record
UUUGAAGGCCUAAUUUUUUAUAUUGUUUUCAUAAGACAAGAAAUGACGCCAUUGGACAAAGGAAUAACGCCAGGGGUUAAACAGAUCACUUUCUGAUAGAAAUGAGCAUUGAGUCAAUGCUAGAAAUGUAUGAAAUUUGACUGAUGGACUGAAGCUUGCUUUUGCGUUCCUCAAGAGAAAACGCAUGGCAGGAACCGCAUUCUCCCGCAAAAAGGUCAAGAUGCAACGCUCUGGUGCCCUACCUCUCCAAGGCAAUUGGGAAACAUGGAUCAAAAUCAGGAUUUAUUUUGCUUUUGGAAAUUAGCUUUUUUUGUUUACAAGAAUUCUUCUCGUAUAAUAAACUAUAACAUGCAAGGAUACGCUCUUUCACGACACACUCUUUCAUUGACUAUUUCUUGUGUCAUGGGCAGGACAUGAAUAAUCCUCAUAACAAAUUAUUUGCUUUCUUUUUCUCGUUAAAUAUGGAAAUAAAUAAUUGACUCUAACAUUCUAAAGUUUUUGCAAUGACAACCUUUGAUAGAGUCAUUAUCGAGUCAUUAUCAUGGUCUGAAUUAAACUAUUCACUUUCAAACGUUUAGUUUGGAAGUAUUAAUUCCAUUUGAAUAAGAAAAAUAAUUUAAACUGAUUUUUUGGACAGUAUACGCUUAUCGAUUAUAUAAUAAGCAGAA